This 508-nucleotide ribosomal RNA is filed under the name uncultured bacterium. RNAcentral describes it as "partial 16S ribosomal RNA". It matches the Rfam family "Bacterial small subunit ribosomal RNA", at positions 28 to 507 of the family's 1533-position model. The record is from RNAcentral.
GACGAACGCUGGCGGCGUGCCUAAUACAUGCAAGUCGAACGCUUCUUUCCUCCCGAGUGCUUGCACUCAAUUGGAAAGAGGAGUGGCGGACGGGUGAGUAACACGUGGGUAACCUACCCAUCAGAGGGGGAUAACACUUGGAAACAGGUGCUAAUACCGCAUAACAGUUUAUGCCGCAUGGCAUAAGAGUGAAAGGCGCUUUCGGGUGUCGUUGAUGGAUGGACCCGCGGUGCAUUAGCUAGUUGGUGAGGUAACGGCUCACCAAGGCCACGAUGCAUAGCCGACCUGAGAGGGUGAUCGGCCACACUGGGACUGAGACACGGCCCAGACUCCUACGGGAGGCAGCAGUAGGGAAUCUUCGGCAAUGGACGAAAGUCUGACCGAGCAACGCCGCGUGAGUGAAGAAGGUUUUCGGGUCGUAAAACUCUGUUGUUAGUGAAGAACAAGGACGUUAGUAACUGAACGUCCCCUGACGGUAUCUAACCAGAAAGCCACGGCUAACUACGUG